GAUGAACGCUGGCGGCGUGCCUAACACAUGCAAGUCGAGCGAACGGACGAGAAGCUUGCUUCUCUGAUGUUAGCGGCGGACGGGUGAGUAACACGUGGAUAACCUACCUAUAAGACUGGGAUAACUUCGGGAAACCGGAGCUAAUACCGGAUGAUAUUUUGAACCGCAUGGUUCAAAAGUGAAAGACGGUCUUGCUGUCACUAAUAGAUGGAUCCGCGCUGCAUUAGCUAGUUGGUAAGGUAACGGCUUACCAAGGCAACGAUGCAUAGCCGACCUGAGAGGGUGGUCGGCCAGACGGGAACUGGGACACGGUCCAGACUCCUACGGUAGGCAGCAGUAGGGAAUCUUCCGCAAUGGGCGAAAGCCUGACAGAGCAACGCCGCGUGAGUGAUGAAGGUCUUCGGAUCGGAAAACUCUGUUAUUAGGGAAGAACAUAUGUGUAAGUAACUGUGCACAUCUUGACGGUACCUAAUCAGAAAGCCACGGCUAACUACGUG
RNAcentral lists this ribosomal RNA (497 nucleotides) under uncultured bacterium. RNAcentral's name for it is "partial 16S ribosomal RNA". It matches the Rfam family "Bacterial small subunit ribosomal RNA", at positions 28 to 507 of the family's 1533-position model. The record is from RNAcentral.